This is a non-coding RNA of Homo sapiens (human), 117 nucleotides long. It matches the Rfam family "Metazoan signal recognition particle RNA". From Rfam's summary of the family: The signal recognition particle (SRP) is a universally conserved ribonucleoprotein. Lineage: Eukaryota; Metazoa; Chordata; Mammalia; Primates; Hominidae. The record is from Rfam.
GCCGGGCGCGGUGGCUCACGCCUGUAAUCCCAGCACUUUGGGAGGCUGAGGUGGGUGGAUCACCUGAGGUCGGGACUUCCAGAACAGCCUGACCAACAUGGAGAAACCCCGUCUCUA